AGCGAACGCUGGCGGCAGGCCUAACACAUGCAAGUCGAGCGCCCCGCAAGGGGAGCGGCAGACGGGAGAGUAACACGUGGGAACGUACCCUUCAGUUCGGAACAACCCAGGGAAACUUGGGCUAAUACCGAAUACGUCCGUAAGGAGAAAGAUUUAUCGCUGAAGGAUCGGCCCGCGUCCGAUUAGCUAGUUGGUGAGGUAACGGCUCACCAAGGCGACGAUCGGUAGCUGGUCUGAGAGGAUGAUCAGCCUCACUGGGACUGAGACACGGCCCAGACUCCUACGGGAGGCAGCAGUGGGGAAUAUUGGACAAUGGGCGCAAGCCUGAUCCAGCCAUGCCGCGUGGAUGAUGAAGGCCCUGGGGUUGUAAAGUCCUUUCGGCGGGGAUGAUAAUGACGGUACCCGCAGAAGAAGCCCCGGCUAACUUCGUGCCAGCCGCCGCGGUAA
This 447-nucleotide ribosomal RNA is filed under the name uncultured bacterium. RNAcentral describes it as "partial 16S ribosomal RNA". It matches the Rfam family "Bacterial small subunit ribosomal RNA", at positions 29 to 523 of the family's 1533-position model. The record is from RNAcentral.